GUCCUCUACGAACCGGCGGGAAAGAUAAAACCUUCGGUUUGUACUCUGCUUCGUGAACUAUGUUGUGACCCCGCUCCCUUUUCCCUCAGAGACCUGCAGACGGACGGUAGUGUUGGCUUGAGUUUUUGUUACGAAGCUUGCUUUUCAGUUUCACCCCUAAGCUAAACUGAACUAUUUCUUAAAAAGCCUUGGAAAAUGUGUUUCCCUCAAUGUGUUUGGAAGGAAGCGGUUGCUCCUGUUACUUUGAGCCAGUCCCUGAUGCUAUGAGAAAUUCUAAAGAAAAUAAUACACAGCGAGCCAGCGCGUGUAACCUGAUUAACACUAUGUAGCCUCACGAACAGAAGUUAAUAUUAGCUACUACUCCUAGAAGAAUGACGUUGGCCUAGUUGAAUUUGACGAGGUUGACUGUUAUGUGACCAAGAAGGACAUAAUAAAUCAUGACAUUUGAAGAACAUCCUGAGUUCAAAGGGGAGGUGACAUUUGGUCUAGGCCUUAAAGGAAAAGUUGGAAUUCUGCAGUGGCCAGGAGAGGCCAAAACAUUCCACGCUGAGACACAGAGGUAUGAGGGAGCUUGGUGUGUUUAGGAGAUAGCUAGUCAGACUGACCAAAACAUGGUGCUGGUAAUUGUGGGGAUGGUGGGCAGAAAUUGACAGGGAAAGAGGCUACUAGA
Molecule: long non-coding RNA, 670 nt
Organism: Aethalodelphis obliquidens (Pacific white-sided dolphin)
Lineage: Eukaryota; Metazoa; Chordata; Mammalia; Artiodactyla; Delphinidae
Exons: 3
Source: RefSeq, a predicted model, not a curated record